AUCGGGCUUAGCUCCCUCUGUUGCUUAGCAAUAUUCACUGGGCUGUUUCCUGAACCUCACACCACCUGGCAGAUUCAGAGUUAAAAAACAACAGCAAACAGUUGCAGACAAGAGACUUGCCUAAAAUCCAUAGCUGAAGCGCCAUCUCGUGAACACAGAGCUUCUCACCAGAUGCUAGAAUGCUCCCAGCAACUGUUCAGACUGAGGGGCUAAGUGACCGAAUUCCAG
Long non-coding RNA from Eptesicus fuscus (big brown bat), 228 nucleotides. RefSeq lists it as uncharacterized. The transcript is spliced from 3 exons. The record is from RefSeq and is a predicted model, not a curated record. Lineage: Eukaryota; Metazoa; Chordata; Mammalia; Chiroptera; Vespertilionidae.